RNAcentral lists this ribosomal RNA (468 nucleotides) under uncultured bacterium. Its description in RNAcentral is "partial 16S ribosomal RNA". It matches the Rfam family "Bacterial small subunit ribosomal RNA", at positions 28 to 507 of the family's 1533-position model. The record is from RNAcentral.
GACGAACGCUGGCGGCGUGCUUAACACAUGCAAGUCGAACGGAAAGGCCCUGCUUUUGUGGGGUGCUCGAGUGGCGAACGGGUGAGUAACACGUGAGUAACCUGCCCUUGACUUUGGGAUAACUUCAGGGAACUGGGGCUAAUACCGGAUAGGAGCUCCUGCCGCAUGGUGGGGGUUGGAAAGUUUCGGCGGUUGGGGAUGGACUCGCGGCUUAUCAGCUUGUUGGUGGGGUAGUGGCUUACCAAGGCUUUGACGGGUAGCCGGCCUGAGAGGGUGACCGGCCACAUUGGGACUGAGAUACGGCCCAGACUCCUACGGGAGGCAGCAGUGGGGAAUAUUGCACAAUGGGCGGAAGCCUGAUGCAGCAACGCCGCGUGCGGGAUGACGGCCUUCGGGUUGUAAACCGCUUUCGCCUGUGACGAAGCGUGAGUGACGGUAAUGGGUAAAGAAGCACCGGCUAACUACGUG